RNAcentral lists this small RNA (52 nucleotides) under Arabidopsis thaliana (thale cress). RNAcentral's name for it is "ATSL058970". The record is from RNAcentral. Lineage: Eukaryota; Viridiplantae; Streptophyta; Magnoliopsida; Brassicales; Brassicaceae.
GUUCAAUAGUUUUUUUUUGGUUUUGGUUAAAAAAGAGUGUUGAAUAGUUCUA